AAAAGAUUAGUUAACUAAUAACAUUAGUAUGUCAUACUAAAAUCAUUAUAUACAAAAUAUAAUAUCUUUUU
This 71-nucleotide transfer RNA is filed under the name Phryganogryllacris superangulata. RNAcentral's name for it is "tRNA-Asp". The record is from RNAcentral. Lineage: Eukaryota; Metazoa; Arthropoda; Insecta; Orthoptera; Gryllacrididae.